CAUUGAGAAGCUAAAAUAAGCAUUAACCUUUUAAGUUAAAGACUGAGAGCACCCUCUCCUCAUUGA
This 66-nucleotide transfer RNA is filed under the name Potamogale velox. Its description in RNAcentral is "tRNA-Lys". Lineage: Eukaryota; Metazoa; Chordata; Mammalia; Afrosoricida; Tenrecidae. The record is from RNAcentral.